Molecule: ribosomal RNA, 583 nt
Filed under: uncultured bacterium
Lineage: Bacteria
Description: partial 16S ribosomal RNA
Rfam family: Bacterial small subunit ribosomal RNA
Source: RNAcentral
UGGGGAAUUUUGGACAAUGGGCGAAAGCCUGAUCCAGCAAUGCCGCGUGUGUGAAGAAGGCCUUCGGGUUGUAAAGCACUUUUGUCCGGAAAGAAAUCCUUGGCUCUAAUACAGUCGGGGGAUGACGGUACCGGAAGAAUAGGCACCGGCUAACUACGUGCCAGCAGCCGCGGUAAUACGUAGGGUGCAAGCGUUAAUCGGAAUUACUGGGCGUAAAGCGUGCGCAGGCGGUUUGCUAAGACCGAUGUGAAAUCCCCGGGCUCAACCUGGGAACUGCAUUGGUGACUGGCAGGCUAGAGUAUGGCAGAGGGGGGUAGAAUUCCACGUGUAGCAGUGAAAUGCGUAGAGAUGUGGAGGAAUACCGAUGGCGAAGGCAGCCCCCUGGGCCAAAUACUGACGCUCAUGCACGAAAGCGUGGGGAGCAAACAGGAUUAGAUACCCUGGUAGUCCACGCCCUAAAACGAUGUCAACUAGUUGUUGGGGGACUUCAUUUCCUUAGUAACGUAGCUAACGCGUGAAGUUGACCGCCUGGGGAGUACGGUCGCAAGAUUAAAACUCAAAUGAAUUGACGGGGUCAUAGCUG